GACGAACGCUGGCGGCGUGCCUAAUACAUGCAAGUAGAACGCUGAAGAGAGGAGCUUGCUCUUCUUGGAUGAGUUGCGAACGGGUGAGUAACGCGUAGGUAACCUGCCUUGUAGCGGGGGAUAACUAUUGGAAACGAUAGCUAAUACCGCAUAACAAUAGGUGACACAUGUCAUUUAUUUGAAAGGGGCAAUUGCUCCACUACAAGAUGGACCUGCGUUGUAUUAGCUAGUAGGUGAGGUAACGGCUCACCUAGGCGACGAUACAUAGCCGACCUGAGAGGGUGAUCGGCCACACUGGGACUGUGACACGGCCCAGACGCCUACGGGAGGCAGCAGUAGGGAAUCUUCGGCAAUGGGGGCAACCCUGACCGAGCAACGCCGCGUGAGUGAAGAAGGUUUUCGGAUCGUAAAGCUCUGUUGUAAGUCAAGAACGAGUGUGAGAGUGGAAAGUUCACACUGUGACGGUAGCUUACCAGAAAGAGACGGCUAACUACGUG
This 497-nucleotide ribosomal RNA is filed under the name uncultured bacterium. Its description in RNAcentral is "partial 16S ribosomal RNA". It matches the Rfam family "Bacterial small subunit ribosomal RNA", at positions 28 to 507 of the family's 1533-position model. The record is from RNAcentral.